Long non-coding RNA from Podarcis muralis (Common wall lizard), 493 nucleotides. RefSeq lists it as uncharacterized. NCBI's taxonomy places the organism in Eukaryota, Metazoa, Chordata, Lepidosauria, Squamata, Lacertidae. The record is from RefSeq and is a predicted model, not a curated record.
CACCUCCUCGGAGCGCAGCACCAUCCCAGCCUUUCCUCCUCCUCCCCCCCCCCGCCACUUCCCCUGAUCUGCCCCUUUAAGAAAAAGCGACCUUUCUCUCUCUCCCUAACCCUUUACAUGCUGCCCUUCCCCAGUGGACAAUAUUUAAAGAUGGAAGGUAACAUCCAGGAAGAGGUCCGGGGGAGUUGCUUUAGAAGGGAUCAAGGUGAUUUAUAUUAAUCCUGUUGUGGUCAGGGCAAAGGAGGUCUGAAAACAUUUGUUAUAUUUUCAAGUGGGGGACGGGGACGGAAGAGAGAGGUAACAAACCAAGUUCCUUUCUCCUUUUCUUCGUUUUGUGCUUGAGGUUCAGUUACUCCAACGCCUCGCGAUUUAACUCAAUCAGGUUCUGGGAUUCCGCCGCCCGUCCGCCCACCACGUUCUGUUUCCACAAACUUGUAAUAAAGCUGGUAAUUUUAAAAGCCAUUCAAAUAAUAAAACAAAGCCUGCCGAAUUA